GACGAACGCUGGCGGCGUGCUUAACACAUGCAAGUCGAACGGAAGGGCCCUGCUUUUGUGGGGUGCUCGAGUGGCGAACGGGUGAGUAACACGUGAGUAACCUGCCCUUGACUUUGGGAUAACUUCAGGAAACUGGGGCUAAUACCGGAUAGGAGCUCCUGCUGCAUGGUGGGGGUUGGACAGUUUCGGCGGUUGGGGAUGGACUCGCGGCUUAUCAGCUUGUUGGUGGGGUAGUGGCUUACCAAGGCUUUGACGGGUAGCCGGCCUGAGAGGGUGAACGGCCACAUUGGGACUGCGAUAGGGACCAGACGGCUACGGUAGGCAGCGGUGGGGAGUCUUGCACAACGGGGCGAAGCCUGAGGAAGCAACGCUGCGUUCGGGAUGACGGCUUUCGGGGGGUAAACCGCUUUAGCCUGUGACGAAGCGUGAGUGACGGUAAUGGGUAAAGAAGCACCGGCUAACUACGUG
RNAcentral lists this ribosomal RNA (468 nucleotides) under uncultured bacterium. RNAcentral's name for it is "partial 16S ribosomal RNA". It matches the Rfam family "Bacterial small subunit ribosomal RNA", at positions 28 to 507 of the family's 1533-position model. The record is from RNAcentral.